Molecule: ribosomal RNA, 429 nt
Filed under: uncultured prokaryote
Description: bacterial SSU rRNA
Rfam family: Bacterial small subunit ribosomal RNA
Source: RNAcentral
CUAAGAAUAUUCCGCAAUGGACGGAAGUCUGACGGAGCGACGCCGCGUGGAUGAAGAAGGCCGAAAGGUUGUAAAGUUCUUUUCGGGAGGAGGAAUAAGUGCGGCAGGCAAUGGCCGCGCGAUGACGUUAAUCCCGGAAUAAGCCCCGGCUAACUACGUGCCAGCAGCCGCGGUAACACGUAGGGGGCGAGCGUUGUUCGGAAUCAUUGGGCGUAAAGGGCGUGCAGGCGGCCCUGCAAGUCUGGCGUGAAAUGCCCCGGCUCAACCGGGGAGACGCGCUGGAAACUGCGGGGCUAGAGUACAGGAGGGGAUGCCGGAAUUCCAGGUGUAGGGGUGAAAUCUGUAGAUAUCUGGAAGAACACCAAUGGCGAAGGCAGGCAUCUGGCCAUGUACUGACGCUGAGACGCGAAGGUGCGGGGAGCAAACGGG